CCACCCCUGCCCCUCAUCUGGGCCUGCUCACAAAUUUUUAUCACUUACACACACAACAAGACAGACAAUGUGUUUUUCAAAGGCUUUUGGUCACAUUGAGUAGGAUUCUUGGCCCUGUUGCUGUUGUAUUUCUUAAAUAAAGUGUCCCGUGUGCCUUACUCAACUGUCUGUAUGUCAUUAGCUGAGGUCUGAGCCUUUCACACUGAGCCUGUAAGCACACUGGAAUUUUCCUGAUUGCAGUUUCCCCUUUUUGCAGGGCUGCUUUUAACAAUUCCAGCAAACAACCUGUUUCUGGUUCCUUUUUAAAAAUGUCACAUUUUACUCUCAGUGUGUCCACAUUUAUGCGGUUCUGUGUGUGUGUGUGUGUGUGUGUGUGGGUGUGUGGGUGGGUGGGUACAUAUAGUGUAGCAUAGUAUACAUAGAGUGUUUGCAAGUAUCCUUGAUUGCUGGGUGAUUAAAGACAUGUCAGUGUGUGGGUUUUUGUGCACAGGUGUGUGGGUGUAGAGUGAGUAUACGCUUGCAGUAAUUUGAGUGUGGUCAAGUGAGUAGGCGGAGCUUCCGUUAGUAUGUACAGAAAAGGAAAGACAAGAAGGUGAUAAAUGUUGGCUUCAACUCUUCAGUAACUGAUAGAAUGCUAUCAUUUUGCUAAAAGAAAUCAGUUGGGCCCUUUUUUAAGAUCCAGCAUUUUUGUUUUGCAGAUCCAAUCCCUGAGUCCCCGGACUUCAUGCAGGUAUAACAAGGAAAGUGGCAAGUUUUCCUCUUCAGGCUUAUCUCACCAAAGCUACGUCACCUCUCAUGCCUGCCUCAGUAUGCUGCUGGGGAGUUCUCUGCACGUGUGGAAAAACCAAAAAAAAAAAUCCCCAAAAAACAACCCCCCCCCCCCAAAAAAACCAAAAAAAAAAACUGAAAAACAUUUUUCCACUUGCGACAGUGAGUCCAGACCAAAGGGACCCCAUCUUCAAAGCUCUCACGUUGCAUUGGGGACUGUCAUAACUAAGGCACUGUCCAAAGUAUCAACACCCAUUCAUCGAUAGGAGUCCAGAGGCAGAGGAAAGCCUUGCGCUCAUCGUUUGGUUGGGGACGCGAGAUGGCCACGGGGCGGAGUCGUACUUCACAGGAAGUGUGUGGCUGACAUUCCACGGGUCUCAGAUCUUUGCCUCGUGCCAUCUGAGCUAAAAGCACACCCCUCGGUGUCUCUAAAGUUCAGGUUUUUUUGCGGUCAGGUAUGACUGCAGUGAACGGGCCUGCCAUUGUGUAUGUGUAUGUGGAGGAGUUUCUCAGGUUAGGACUGCCAUUCAACUCCAGUAUUCUUUUUUAAGUGUCUGCUGGCCAACACAACCCCUUUCCCACACACACACACACACCCAAACUCACACGUACAUUAAUCUGUUUUGUUUCUCUCCCCUCCCCUGUCUUCUUUUGUCUUUACCUCUAUAGAUUUCUCAGUCCCUCCCACGUUUUCUCUCCUGCCUUAUUUUCUUUCUUUUCAUCCUUCGUGCUCUCUCUCACUCACUCCUCAGAGUCUCAGAUUUUUAACAGAUUCGGCAAAGCGCACUACCUCACCUAAGCUUAACCCCAGUCACACUCUUCCUUAACAUUCACUGCCUAGAAGAUCAUUUUGUCUUCCUUUAUCAUAUGCAGGUCAUUGCAUUUUGCUCUUAAUUCAAAUUUCUGUCACUUAAAAAAGCAAUGUUGUUUUUAUAUGUUGAUGUUUUAUAUUUUAAUACUUAAAAAAUGUGUUAAAUGUAGAUGUCUUCCCUUUUGAAAAAGUAAUAUAUGUUUUUUUUUAGGGAUUUUGCAUAAACAAUGUAGCUACUGAAAACAUUCUGGUCAUUGAUAUAUUUUAUGACAUUUUGCAUAUGCAUGUUAAGACAUUCAAAUAUGUCUCAUAUCCCUAUACUUCACAACUCAAAGUAUGUAACUUGUUUAGUAAGGGUUUUCAAAUAUUUGUGUAUAUUUAUUAAAUUGUAAAAUUGAUCAUAUUUAUAGGUUUCCUGCCCCUAAUGGCAGCAAGAUGUAAUUACACCUUUCUUGUCUGUUGUGCCAAGGUAAUACCCUUGACACAUGAAGACACCAUUUCUGAGGGCUUAUCCAAAUUGUCAUUGACCUUCACUGAAACCGACUACCAGUCUGUCACAAUAAGUUGUGAUAUUCAUUGACAAUCAGGAGGGAUCUAGUGUAGGUGUCUCCUUAAACAAUGAGAAGAGUGCUUUAAUAAGGUUGGACAGAAGCAGAGAUGUUAGUGAGAAAUAUGCCUUUGACCUGCAGCUAAAUGCUGUGGCACUGAAUACACUGGCUACCAAUGGAGCAAUACAAGCCUGAAUGUGCAUAAUAAUAGGUGAUGUGAAAGCAUCUUGGCUGGGUUCAGUGAACUUUGAAGUUACAAGCAAGAAUUUUCUUUUUCUCCUUCACAAACCAAGUUGCCAAGUUCAGUGAUCACUACAAUUAGCCAAAAAGAAAUAGUAAAAUUAGCCAAAAUCUCAAAAAUUAGACCAAUUGAACAGUGUGUGUAUGUGUGUGUGUGUGUGUGUGUGCUCUAUCCAAUUGUACUGGUCCAGUUAAUGACUGAAAAAAAAUAGGGAAAAAACCUGCCUAUUUCUGUAAAGUCUGUAAAAAAAAUUGUAAAAAAAACUUGUUUUUUCUUGUUUCUAUUUUCUACAAUAAAUGUUUUUACAAAGGCAAUGCA
Anguilla rostrata (American eel) is the source of this 2686-nucleotide long non-coding RNA. RefSeq lists it as uncharacterized. The record is from RefSeq and is a predicted model, not a curated record. The transcript is spliced from 2 exons. NCBI's taxonomy places the organism in Eukaryota, Metazoa, Chordata, Actinopteri, Anguilliformes, Anguillidae.